AUACUCGCUUCUGUAGAACAUAAACUAAAAUUGGGACAAAACAGAUUAGUAUGGUCCCAGUACAAAAAUGAUAGACAAAAUAGACAAAUUUGUGAAGUAUUU
This 102-nucleotide small nuclear RNA is filed under the name Nannospalax galili (Upper Galilee mountains blind mole rat). Lineage: Eukaryota; Metazoa; Chordata; Mammalia; Rodentia; Spalacidae. The record is from RNAcentral.